Lycium barbarum (goji berry) is the source of this 782-nucleotide long non-coding RNA. RefSeq lists it as uncharacterized. NCBI's taxonomy places the organism in Eukaryota, Viridiplantae, Streptophyta, Magnoliopsida, Solanales, Solanaceae. The transcript is spliced from 3 exons. The record is from RefSeq and is a predicted model, not a curated record.
UUUAGUGGAGGAGCACAUAAUCAUUUUGUGCAUUAACUUAUUAUACCCCACCAAGCAUGCUAAUGGAAAUAUUUGAUCAUGAAUGAUGGCAUGCCUAGUGGGGCACGUGUUAUCAUGGCUGGCAGCAUUAUGAUUAGUGGAUGACAAAGCCUAAUUCAUAAUUCAUCUGCUCAAAGUCAAACUAGAGAGAGAAACACUUCAUCUUCACCGAAGUUCAGUUGAAAGAGAAAAAACCACACGGCCAUGGCAGCUUUCUGAAGCUCAAGGCCAGCUCCUUUUCAACACCAUUAAAUUGUUAAUCUUCAUCUUGAUUUGGAGAAAGAAUUAUGAAUAACCAUGGCUACCAAGCUCACGUCCAUGGCAACCCUUAACCCACUUCAAGUGUUGCAAGAAAAGUUAAUUUCCUAAGGUGUUCUAGGCACUUAAAGGUUAGAGUUUAAGUUGAAGAAGAUGAAGUGGUGCAAAUGAUGCAAGUUAUUGUAGGGCUGUCCAAAUUAAAUUUGAGACCUUGUCCGUUCGGAAGCACUUCAGAAGGAAAAAGCUUUGGCGUGAAAGUUCGUGACACCUGUUCGGCAUUGAGAGUUAUUUUCAGGUGAUGUUCGGAGUCUCACGACCUUUUCGAGGCAUUCGUCAAAGGCGUUUGGGUGAGCUAUUUGAGAUCUUGCAACCCAGAGUCUCUCCUUAGAUUUCUGUUGUUCUCUAUCCUUAAACAGAAGUCGUAUCCAGUUUGAAUAUGUUAUCUACUUCAAAUUGUAAACUUCUUAGAAGCUCUUGUAUGAGUC